GCCUCCCAGAGGGCUGGGAAGACAGAGAAAGCGUGCUCCAUCAUGACCAGUGACCAGGCAAGGGGCAUGUGGCCCAGCGUAUGGGCGGACAUGUGAGAAGGUGUGUAAGGCAAGCGAGUGCUCUGCCAGCCCAUCUCUGCCUCUACAUCUUCAUCUCAUUUGAUUGGGCCGUGACCCCAGCCCUGGAGGGCUGCCCCAGAAUGAAAAGCUCCCCUCCUGCAAAGCACCCCUCUGCUGCUGCUGUUGCCACUGUGUUUGUGUGUGUUAGCUGCAAA
Molecule: small nucleolar RNA, 275 nt
Filed under: Cavia aperea (Brazilian guinea pig)
Lineage: Eukaryota; Metazoa; Chordata; Mammalia; Rodentia; Caviidae
Description: Small Cajal body-specific RNA 2 (ENSCAPG00000002106.1)
Rfam family: Small Cajal body-specific RNA 2 (bases 1-226)
Source: RNAcentral